RNAcentral lists this ribosomal RNA (1350 nucleotides) under Metallyticus splendidus. RNAcentral's name for it is "16S ribosomal RNA". The stretch from base 1101 to 1259 matches the Rfam family "Archaeal large subunit ribosomal RNA", at positions 2542 to 2701 of the family's 2987-position model. Lineage: Eukaryota; Metazoa; Arthropoda; Insecta; Mantodea; Metallyticidae. RNAcentral also lists the same sequence under 1 other name. The record is from RNAcentral.
UAUAAAUAGUUUUAUAUUGUUGAUGGUUGUAGAAGUAUUAUUAAUUUAUUAAAUAUUUUUUUGUUAUUGUAAUAUUUAUUGAUUUAAUUUAUCUAAUUAUAAUGAAUUAGUACUGUGAAGGAAAAAGUGUUAUUGAAAUAUAAAAAUAUUAGGUAAAGUUGAUUUGAUUUAUCUUAUCUUGAGUAUCAGAGUAGAUUAAUAUAAAUAAUUGAUUUUUUUUAUCCCGAACUUAAAGGACUUAAUUUAAUAUAAUGUUCAUUGUUUUAUAACUGUCAUUAAUAUUUAAUUAGUGGUGAAAUGUUUUCGUUUUUAAAGAUAUCUGGUUUUUUAUUAAAUGAAUUUAAUUCAGAAGACGUAAGUUAAUAUUAUUUAUCGAAAUAAUUAUUUUUUAUGUUUUUAAUUUUUUAAGGGUUUAGCUUUUAAAAAUAAUGACUAUAAGUAUGUAUUAUUUAUUUUAAUUGAAAAUUUAUAAAUUUAGAAGUUGUUACUGUUUUGGAGUGUGUUAAAAUUUAUUUUAAGGUUUAUUGAAAAAUUUUAUUUAUUUUAGUGUGAAAUAUUUAAUAAGAUUGAAAAUUGAACUUUAUUUUUUUUGUAAUAAUGAUUUAAUUAGUAUAAUGAUUUUAUAUAAAUUAAGCUUGUUUGGAAGGAAUUAUUAUAUGUUUUUGUGAAGAAUUAGGCAAAGAUUUAUUGUUCGCCUGUUUAUUAAAAACAUGGUUUCUUGUUUAUUUAAGAAAUUUGACCUGCCCACUGAUAUGUAUUGGAGGGCCGCAGUAUUUUGACUGUGCGAAGGUAGCGUAAUCAUUAGUCUUUUAAUUGAAGGCUUGUAUGAAUGGUUGGACGAAACAAUUUCUGUUUUAUAAGAAUUUAUUAAAAUUUAGGUUUUGAGUAAAAAAUCUUAAAUAUUAUUAAGGGACGAGAAGACCCUAUAGAGUUUAAUAUUAUUUUGUUUUAUUUAUGUUGUUUUAAAGUAUGUUAUUGUUAUUAUGAAGUUUUAUUUAGUUGGGGUGAUUGGAAAAUAAGUGUAACUUUUCUUUUUUAUUAAUAAUGAUAAUUAGAUUACUGAUCCAUUAAUAGUGAUUAUAAGAUUAAAUUACCUUAGGGAUAACAGCAUAAUUUUUUUUGAGAGUUCUUAUCGAGAGAAAAGAUUGUGACCUCGAUGUUGGAUUAGGAUUAAUGUUAAAUGUAGACGGUUAAUUAUUAGGUCUGUUCGACCUUUAAAAUCCUACAUGAUCUGAGUUUAAACCGGUGUGAGCCAGGUUGGUUUCUAUCUUUAAUUAAAUAAAGAAUCUUAGUACGAGAGGACCAGGUUACUUAAAAUAAUUUUUAGAAUUUAUUUGGUAAUUAGAUUUA